This 347-nucleotide transfer-messenger RNA is filed under the name Romboutsia sedimentorum. It matches the Rfam family "transfer-messenger RNA". From Rfam's summary of the family: Bacterial tmRNA, also known as 10Sa RNA or SsrA, is named for its dual tRNA and mRNA-like properties. Its role is to liberate the mRNA from a stalled ribosome. The record is from RNAcentral. RNAcentral also lists the same sequence under 1 other name. Lineage: Bacteria; Bacillati; Bacillota; Clostridia; Peptostreptococcales; Peptostreptococcaceae.
GGGGGCGUAAAGGUUUCGACGUGGGUUUGGAACUUGGGGCUGCGUGUCGUGUUACUCUGGGUCACGUAAAAACUGGGGACUUAAAACAAACGCAAACGAUAAUUACGCACUAGCAGCUUAGUUCUGCUCGUUCCUCCUAGCCCUCCUGCCGGUUAGGACUGAACGUCAUUAUGCAGGGAACUACUUUUUGGGUGUCUCGACCUAAAGUGGAUUAAUUGGGACUGGUCGACCACACAGCUUGCCGCUGGGCGGUGUGUUAGACGAGAAACUAAAUCAGUCGGAUACACACGUAGAUGCAACGAGGAAAGGACUUGCGGACAGGGGUUCGACUCCCCUCGUCUCCACCA